Molecule: ribosomal RNA, 335 nt
Filed under: uncultured Scutellospora
Lineage: Eukaryota; Fungi; Glomeromycota; Glomeromycetes; Diversisporales; Gigasporaceae
Description: eukaryotic LSU rRNA
Source: RNAcentral
GUGAAAUUGUUGAAAGGGAAACGGUUGAAGUCAGUCAUGCAGGCGGGAAUCAACUUAGGGGAAACUCUGAGUGCACUUCUUCGCUUGGCAGGUUAGCGUCGAUUUUGGAUAUCAUAAAAUGACUGGGGGCAGGUAGCUCCUUUGGGAGUGUUAAGCCCUUGGUAGAUGUGAUGUCUGGGGUCGAGGAUUGCAACGGAUACCUUUUGGGCUAGCCGCGUAGUCUCUAAUAUGAAGUUGGGUUACGGACAGCAUGCUGACUGUGAUCUGAUUUUCGGGUAAAAGAUUAGAGCGAGUGUAAAUUCGUUAAGGACGCUGACGUAAUGGCUUUAAACGAC